AACGAACGCUGGCGGCAUGCCUAACACAUGCAAGUCGAACGAGACCUUCGGGUCUAGUGGCGCACGGGUGCGUAACGCGUGGGAACCUGCCCUUAGGUUCGGAAUAACUCCCCGAAAGGGGUGCUAAUACCGGAUAAUGUCUUCGGACCAAAGAUUUAUCGCCUUUGGAUGGGCCCGCGUUGGAUUAGCUAGUUGGUAGGGUAAAAGCCUACCAAGGCGACGAUCCAUAGCUGGUCUGAGAGGAUGAUCAGCCACACUGAGACUGGGACACGGCCCAGACUCCUACGGGAGGCGGCAGUGGGGAAUAUUGGAAAAUGGGCGGAGGCCUGAUCCAGCAAUGCCGCGUGAAUGAUGAAGGCCUUAGGGUUGUAAAGCUCUUUUACCCGGGAUGAUAAUGACAGUACCGGGAGAAUAAGCUCCGGCUAACUCCGUG
RNAcentral lists this ribosomal RNA (433 nucleotides) under uncultured bacterium. RNAcentral describes it as "partial 16S ribosomal RNA". It matches the Rfam family "Bacterial small subunit ribosomal RNA", at positions 29 to 507 of the family's 1533-position model. The record is from RNAcentral.